AUUGAACGCUGGCGGCAUGCCUUACACAUGCAAGUCGAACGGCAGCACGGACUUCGGUCUGGUGGCGAGUGGCGAACGGGUGAGUAAAGUAUCGGAACGUGCCUGGUAGUGGGGGAUAACGAGUCGAAAGAUUCGCUAAUACCGCAUACGACCUGAGGGUGAAAGCAGGGGAUCUUCGGACCUUGUGCUAUCAGAGCGGCCGAUAUCUGAUUAGCUAGUUGGUGGGGUAAAGGCCCACCAAGGCGACGAUCAGUAGCUGGUUUGAGAGAACGAUCAGCCACACUGGAACUGAGACACGGUCCAGACUCCUACGGGAGGCAGCAGUAGGGAAUAUUGGACAAUGGGGGCAACCCUGAUCCAGCCAUGCCGCGUGAGUGAAGAAGGCCCUCGGGUUGUAAAGCUCUUUUGUCCGGAAAGAAAAGCAUCUGGUUAAUACCCGGGUGUUCUGACGGUACCGGAAGAAUAAGCACCGGCUAACUUCGUGCCAGCAGCCGCGGU
This 498-nucleotide ribosomal RNA is filed under the name uncultured bacterium. RNAcentral describes it as "bacterial SSU rRNA". It matches the Rfam family "Bacterial small subunit ribosomal RNA", at positions 30 to 521 of the family's 1533-position model. The record is from RNAcentral.